GCCAGUAUGGUGUAGUGGUUUGAGUGUUAGUCUACAAAUCUGAAGAUCAGGGUUCAAUAUCCUGGGUGACC
Molecule: transfer RNA, 71 nt
Filed under: Phrynosoma platyrhinos (Desert horned lizard)
Lineage: Eukaryota; Metazoa; Chordata; Lepidosauria; Squamata; Phrynosomatidae
Description: tRNA-OTHER
Source: RNAcentral